Molecule: small RNA, 870 nt
Filed under: Pongo abelii (Sumatran orangutan)
Lineage: Eukaryota; Metazoa; Chordata; Mammalia; Primates; Hominidae
Description: processed transcript
Source: RNAcentral
AUUUUGGCCCCAGCCGUGCUUCUAGGAAGUAGAGCGCCGGCUCGCAUGCCUGCCCGCCCGCCAGCUUGCCGGGUACGGCCUUUUCCGCCGGGGCUUCCAGGUCAAAGCAUUCGCCUUUGCCGCUGCCGCUUUCUUACCCUCCGCACCCGUUAAGUUCUCCGGUCGGGCGGGAGUGUCUGAACACUUAGCCGCGCCAUCCGGGGUCACACCGCCUGGAAGGAGGUGACGGGGGUGGCGCGGGGCGCGGACACUCCCCGCUGAGAGUCCGCCUGCCAUGGACUCGGAAUAUUACAGCGGCGACCAGUCAGAAUGAAACUAGUGAUCGAGAAGAUGGCCUCCCCAAAGGACAUCAUGUGACAGACUCUGAGAAUGAUGAGCCCUUAAAUCUUAAUGCUAGUGACUCUGAAAGUGAGGAGCUUCACAGGCAAAAGGACAGCGACUCUGAAUCUGAGGAACGUGCAGAGCCUCCUGCAAGCGAUUCUGAAAAUGAGGAUGUCAAUCAGCAUGGGAGCGACUCUGAGAGUGAAGAGACCAGGAAAUUACCUGGUAGUGACUCUGAAAAUGAGGAGCUUCUUAAUGGGCAUGCAAGUGACUCAGAAAACGAAGAUGUUGGGAAGCAUCCCGCCAGUGAUUCUGAGAUGGAGGAGCUCCAGAAGAGUCCUGCCAGUGACUCUGAAACAGAAGAUGCUCUAAAACCUCAAAUCAGUGACUCUGAGAGUGAGGAACGCCCAAGGCACCAAGCCAGUGACUCCGAAAAUGAGGAGCCUCCCAAACCUCGAAUGAGUGAUUCUGAAAGUGAGGAGCUUCCUAAACCUCAGGUCAGUGAUUCAGAAAGUGAGGAACCCCCAAGGCACCAGGCCAGUGACUCUG